GACGAACGCUGGCGGCGUGCCUAAUACAUGCAAGUAGAACGCUGAAGGAGGAGCUUGCUUCUCCGGAUGAGUUGCGAACGGGUGAGUAACGCGUAGGUAACCUGCCUGGUAGCGGGGGAUAACUAUUGGAAACGAUAGCUAAUACCGCAUAAGAGUAGAUGUUGCAUGACAUUUGCUUAAAAGGUGCAAUUGCAUCACUACCAGAUGGACCUGCGUUGUAUUAGCUAGUUGGUGGGGUAACGGCUCACCAAGGCGACGAUACAUAGCCGACCUGAGAGGGUGAUCGGCCACACUGGGACUGAGACACGGCCCAGACUCCUACGGGAGGCAGCAGUAGGGAAUCUUCGGCAAUGGACGGAAGUCUGACCGAGCAACGCCGCGUGAGUGAAGAAGGUUUUCGGAUCGUAAAGCUCUGUUGUAAGAGAAGAACGAGUGUGAGAGUGGAAAGUUCACACUGUGACG
This 462-nucleotide ribosomal RNA is filed under the name Streptococcus mitis. Its description in RNAcentral is "bacterial SSU rRNA". It matches the Rfam family "Bacterial small subunit ribosomal RNA", at positions 28 to 474 of the family's 1533-position model. Lineage: Bacteria; Bacillati; Bacillota; Bacilli; Lactobacillales; Streptococcaceae. The record is from RNAcentral.